CCUACGGGAGACAGCAGUGAGGAAUAUUGGUCAAUGGACGAGAGUCUGAACCAGCCAAGUAGCGUGAAGGAUGACUGCCCUAUGGGUUGUAAACUUCUUUUAUAUGGGAAUAAAACGUUCCACGUGUGGGAUUUUGUAUGUACCAUAUGAAUAAGGAUCGGCUAACUCCGUGCCAGCAGCCGCGGUAAUACGGAGGAUCCGAGCGUUAUCCGGAUUUAUUGGGUUUAAAGGGAGCGUAGGUGGAUUGUUAAGUCAGUUGUGAAAGUUUGCGGCUUAACCGUAAAAUUGCAGUUGAAACUGGCAGUCUUGAGUACAGUAGAGGUGGGCGGAAUUCGUGGUGUAGCGGUGAAAUGCUUAGAUAUCACGAAGAACUCCGAUUGCGAAGGCAGUUCACUGGACUGCAACUGACACUGAGGCUCGAAAGUGUGGGUAUCAAACAGGAUUAGAUACCCGAGUAGUC
This 460-nucleotide ribosomal RNA is filed under the name uncultured bacterium. RNAcentral's name for it is "partial 16S ribosomal RNA". It matches the Rfam family "Bacterial small subunit ribosomal RNA", at positions 338 to 795 of the family's 1533-position model. The record is from RNAcentral.